Molecule: long non-coding RNA, 554 nt
Filed under: Salvia miltiorrhiza (redroot sage)
Lineage: Eukaryota; Viridiplantae; Streptophyta; Magnoliopsida; Lamiales; Lamiaceae
Description: long non-coding RNA (SMIL_LNC004878)
Source: RNAcentral
CCCCGCCAGCACCAGACCAAUCUCACUCCUCGUUUAGUCUGCACAUUUAGAAAUACAUGCAGGGCGUGAGUACAUAAUACUCAGUGGGCAAACGCCGAAAAACAAGAAAGGCGCUCUUAGAGCUAUAAGUUUGAAGCUUGCCACAUCUCAGCAAUACACAGAAAUAAGUUAGUAUUAAAUGAAUCUGUGCAUGCAGUUUUAAUAAUCAACAUCAUAAAUAAACGAUAGCGCUAUCAAAGUACUCAUCAUGCAUGUACCACAUCUACAACUCAUCAUCAUCAAAGGUACUGAGAAGUAGGCCUCCCUCUCAAGUACCGUGACCGGCCGACCCGAAGACGGCUCGCAGUCACCUCUGUGCACAAAAUCCCGCUUGUGGCAGGACCCAAUUCGUCUCAUCUCAUCAGUAGAGGGUAACAUACAAGCUCAACCUCAAAAAUUGGCAAGUCAAACAGUUCUCAAAUAUCAUUUAUCUCGAAACAUUUGUUAAACUCAUAACAUCAUUAAACAAUUUUAGAAAGCUCAUACGAUAUACGUAUACUCAAAAUAUUGCCCAC